ACUCCUACGGGAGGCAGCAGUGGGGAAUAUUGCACAAUGGGGGAAACCCUGAUGCAGCCAUGCCGCGUGUGUGAAGAAGGCCUUCGGGUUGUAAAGCACUUUCAGUAGGGAGGAAGGUAGUGUAGUUAACACCUGCACUAUUUGACGUUACCUACAGAAGAAGCACCGGCUAACUCCGUGCCAGCAGCCGCGGUAAUACGGAGGGUGCGAGCGUUAAUCGGAAUUACUGGGCGUAAAGCGCAUGCAGGCGGCCUGUUAAGUCAGAUGUGAAAGCCCGGGGCUUAACCUCGGAAUUGCAUUUGAAACUGGCAGGCUAGAGUCUUGUAGAGGGGGGUAGAAUUUCAGGUGUAGCGGUGAAAUGCGUAGAGAUCUGAAGGAUACCAGUGGCGAAGGCGGCCCCCUGGACAAAGACUGACGCUCAGAUGCGAAAGCGUGGGGGAGC
This 442-nucleotide ribosomal RNA is filed under the name uncultured bacterium. RNAcentral describes it as "bacterial SSU rRNA". It matches the Rfam family "Bacterial small subunit ribosomal RNA", at positions 335 to 769 of the family's 1533-position model. The record is from RNAcentral.